AGUGAACGCUGGCGGUAGGCCUAACACAUGCAAGUCGAACGGCAGCACAGUAAGAGCUUGCUCUUACGGGUGGCGAGUGGCGGACGGGUGAGGAAUACAUCGGAAUCUACUUUUUCGUGGGGGAUAACGUAGGGAAACUUACGCUAAUACCGCAUACGACCUACGGGUGAAAGCAGGGGAUCUUCGGACCUUGCGCGAUUGAAUGAGCCGAUGUCGGAUUAGCUAGUUGGCGGGGUAAAGGCCCCACAAGGCGACGCUCCGUAGCUGGUCUGAGAGGAUGAUCAGGCACACUGGAACUGAGACACGGUCCAGACUCCUACGGGAGGCAGCAGUGGGGAAUAUUGGACAAUGGGCGCAAGCCUGAUCCAGCCAUACCGCGUGGGUGAAGAAGGCCUUCGGGUUGUAAAGCCCUUUUGUUGGGAAAGAAAAGCAGCAGGUUAAUACCCCGCUGUUCUGACGGUACCCAAAGAAUAAGCACCGGCUAACUUCGUG
RNAcentral lists this ribosomal RNA (492 nucleotides) under uncultured bacterium. Its description in RNAcentral is "partial 16S ribosomal RNA". It matches the Rfam family "Bacterial small subunit ribosomal RNA", at positions 29 to 507 of the family's 1533-position model. The record is from RNAcentral.